AGCGAACGCUGGCGGCAGGCUUAACACAUGCAAGUCGAGCGGGCACUUUCGGGUGUCAGCGGCGGACGGGUGAGUAACGCGUGGGAACGUGCCCUCUGGUUCGGAAUAACUCAGGGAAACUUGAGCUAAUACCGGAUACGCCCUUUUGGGGAAAGGCUUGCUGCCGGAGGAUCGGCCCGCGUCUGAUUAGCUAGUUGGUGAGGUAACGGCUCACCAAGGCGACGAUCAGUAGCUGGUCUGAGAGGAUGAUCAGCCACACUGGGACUGAGACACGGCCCAGACUCCUACGGGAGGGAGCAGUGGGGGAUAUUGGACAAUGGGCGCAAGCCUGAUCCAGCCAUGCCGGGUGAGUGAUGAAGGCCUCAGGGUUGUAAAGCUCUUUUAUCCGGGACGAUAAUGACGGUACCGGAGGAAUAAGCCCCGGCUAACUUCGUG
This 435-nucleotide ribosomal RNA is filed under the name uncultured bacterium. RNAcentral's name for it is "partial 16S ribosomal RNA". It matches the Rfam family "Bacterial small subunit ribosomal RNA", at positions 29 to 507 of the family's 1533-position model. The record is from RNAcentral.